GAUGAACGCUGGCGGCGUGCCUAAUACAUGCAAGUCGAGCGAACGGACGAGAAGCUUGCUUCUCUGAUGUUAGCGGCGGACGGGUGAGUAACACGUGGAUAACCUACCUAUAAGACUGGGAUAACUUCGGGAAACCGGAGCUAAUACCGGAUAAUAUUUUGAACCGCAUGGUUCAAAAGUGAAAGACGGUCUUGCUGUCACUUAUAGAUGGAUCCGCGCUGCAUUAGCUAGUUGGUAAGGUAACGGCUUACCAAGGCAACGAUGCAUAGCCGACCUGAGAGGGUGAUCGGCCACACUGGAACUGAGACACGGUCCAGACUCCUACGGGAGGCAGCAGUAGGGAAUCUUCCGCAAUGGGCGAAAGCCUGACGGAGCAACGCCGCGUGAGUGAUGAAGGUCUUCGGAUCGUAAAACUCUGUUAUUAGGGAAGAACAUAUGUGUAAGUAACUGUGCACAUCUUGACGGUACCUAAUCAGAAAGCCACGGCUAACUACGUGCCAGCAGCCGCGGUAAUACGUAGGUGGCAAGCGUUAUCCGGAAUUAUUGGGCGUAAAGCGCGCGUAGGCGGUUUUUUAGUCUGAUGUGAAAGCCCACGGCUCAACCGUGGAGGGUCAUUGGAAACUGGAAAACUUGAGUGCAGAAGAGGAAAGUGGAAUUCCAUGUGUAGCGGUGAAAUGCGCAGAGAUAUGGAGGAACACCAGUGGCGAAGGCGACUUUCUGGUCUGUAACUGACGCUGAUGUGCGAAAGCGUGGGGAUCAAACAGGAUUAGAUACCCUGGUAGUCCACGCCGUAAACGAUGAGUGCUAAGUGUUAGGGGGUUUCCGCCCCUUAGUGCUGCAGCUAACGCAUUAAGCACUCCGCCUGGGGAGUACGACCGCAAGGUUGAAACUCAAAGGAAUUGACGGGGACCCGCACAAGCGGUGGAGCAUGUGGUUUAAUUCGAAGCAACGCGAAGAACCUUACCAAAUCUUGACAUCCUUUGACAACUCUAGAGAUAGAGCUUUCCCCUUCGGGGGACAAAGUGACAGGUGGUGCAUGGUUGUCGUCAGCUCGUGUCGUGAGAUGUUGGGUUAAGUCUCGCAACGAGCGCAACCCUUAAGCUUAGUUGCCAUCAUUAAGUUGGGCACUCUAAGUUGACUGCCGGUGACAAACCGGAGGAAGGUGGGGAUGACGUCAAAUCAUCAUGCCCCUUAUGAUUUGGGCUACACACGUGCUACAAUGGACAAUACAAAGGGCAGCGAAACCGCGAGGUCAAGCAAAUCCCAUAAAGUUGUUCUCAGUUCGGAUUGUAGUCUGCAACUCGACUACAUGAAGCUGGAAUCGCUAGUAAUCGUAGAUCAGCAUGCUACGGUGAAUACGUUCCCGGGUCU
RNAcentral lists this ribosomal RNA (1371 nucleotides) under uncultured bacterium. RNAcentral describes it as "bacterial SSU rRNA". It matches the Rfam family "Bacterial small subunit ribosomal RNA", at positions 28 to 1381 of the family's 1533-position model. The record is from RNAcentral.